RNAcentral lists this ribosomal RNA (450 nucleotides) under uncultured bacterium. RNAcentral's name for it is "partial 16S ribosomal RNA". It matches the Rfam family "Bacterial small subunit ribosomal RNA", at positions 354 to 796 of the family's 1533-position model. The record is from RNAcentral.
GUGGGGAAUUUUGGACAAUGGGCGCAAGCCUGAUCCAGCAAUGCCGCGUGCAGGAAGAAGGCCUUCGGGUUGUAAACUGCUUUUGUACGGAACGAAAAGGCUCUGGUUAAUACCUGGGGCUCAUGACGGUACCGUAAGAAUAAGCACCGGCUAACUACGUGCCAGCAGCCGCGGUAAUACGUAGGGUGCAAGCGUUAAUCGGAAUUACUGGGCGUAAAGCGUGCGCAGGCGGUUUUGUAAGACAGACGUGAAAUCCCCGGGCUCAACCUGGGAAUGGCGUUUGUGACUGCAAAGCUGGAGUGCGGCAGAGGGGGAUGGAAUUCCGCGUGUAGCAGUGAAAUGCGUAGAUAUGCGGAGGAACACCGAUGGCGAAGGCAAUCCCCUGGGCCUGCACUGACGCUCAUGCACGAAAGCGUGGGGAGCAAACAGGAUUAGAAACCCUGGUAGUCC